This 462-nucleotide ribosomal RNA is filed under the name uncultured bacterium. Its description in RNAcentral is "partial 16S ribosomal RNA". It matches the Rfam family "Bacterial small subunit ribosomal RNA", at positions 29 to 507 of the family's 1533-position model. The record is from RNAcentral.
AGUGGACGCUGGCGGCGUGCCUAAUACAUGCAAGUCGAACGGAGAUUCAGUAGCUUGCUAUUUAAUCUUAGUGGCGCACGGGUGAGUAAUAUAUAGCUAACUUGCCCAUUACUAAGGGACAACAGUUGGAAACGACUGCUAAUACCUUAUACUCCGUAUCUAUAUAAGUAGAUACGGGAAAGUUUUUCGGUAAUGGAUAGGGCUAUAUCGUAUCAGCUAGUUGGUAAGGUAAUGGCUUACCAAGGCUAUGACGCGUAACUGGUCUGAGAGGAUGAUCAGUCACACUGGAACUGAGACACGGUCCAGACUCCUACGGGAGGCAGCAGUAGGGAAUAUUGCUCAAUGGGGGAAACCCUGAAGCAGCAACGCCGCGUGGAGGAUGACACUUUUCGGAGCGUAAACUCCUUUUCUUGGGAAAGAAUUAUGACGGUACCCAAGGAAUAAGCACCGGCUAACUCCGUG